This 1436-nucleotide ribosomal RNA is filed under the name uncultured bacterium. Its description in RNAcentral is "bacterial SSU rRNA". It matches the Rfam family "Bacterial small subunit ribosomal RNA". The record is from RNAcentral.
AGAGUUUGAUCCUGGCUCAGAACGUACGCUGGCGGCACGCCUAAUACAUGCAAGUCGAACGAAGUAGCAAUACUUAGUGGCAGACGGGUGAGUAACAUGUAGGUAUCUACCCUUUGGCCUGGAAUAACACGAGGAAACUUGUGCUAAUACCGGAUAAGUCUUUACGGAGAAAGCUUUAUGCACCAUUGGAUGAGCCUGCACUUGAUUAGUUUGUUGGUGGGGUAAUGGCCUACCAAGACAAUGAUCAAUAGCUGAUUUGAGAGGAUGAUCAGCCACAUUGGGACUGAGACACGGCCCAAACUCCUACGGGAGGCAGCAGUAGGGAAUCUUGCACAAUGGAGGAAACUCUGAUGCAGCGAUGCCGCGUGAGUGAAGAAGGCCUUUGGGUUGUAAAGCUCUUUCGUCGGGGAAGAAAAUGACUGUACCCGAAUAAGAAGGUCCGGCUAACUUCGUGCCAGCAGCCGCGGUAAUACGAAGGGACCUAGCGUAGUUCGGAAUUACUGGGCUUAAAGAGUUCGUAGGUGGUUAAAAAAGUUGGUGGUGAAAUCCCAGAGCUUAACUCUGGAACUGCCAUCAAAACUUUUUAGCUAGAGUAUGAUAGAGGAAAGUAGAAUUUCUAGUGUAGAGGUGAAAUUCGUAGAUAUUAGAAAGAAUACCGAUUGCGAAGGCAGCUUUCUGGAUCAUUACUGACACUGAGGAACGAAAGCAUGGGUAGCGAAGAGGAUUAGAUACCCUCGUAGUCCAUGCCGUAAACGAUGUGUGUUAGACGUUGGAAAUUUAUUUUCAGUGUCGCAGCGAAAGCGAUAAACACACCGCCUGGGGAGUACGACCGCAAGGUUAAAACUCAAAUGAAUUGACGGGGACCCGCACAAGUAGUGGAGCAUGUGGUUUAAUUCGAAGAUACGCGCAGAACCUUACCAACACUUGACAUGUUCGUCGCGACUCUAAGAGAUUAGAGUUUUCGGUUCGGCCGGACGAAACACAGGUGCUGCAUGGCUGUCGUCAGCUCGUGUCGUGAGAUGUUGGGUUAAGUCCCGCAACGAGCGCAACCCUUACUUUUAGUUGCCAUCAUUUAGUUGGGCACUCUGAAAGAACUGCCAGUGAUAAGCUGGAGGAAGGUGGGGAUGACGUCAAGUCCUCAUGGCCCUUAUGUGUUGGGCUACACACGUGCUACAAUGGUAUCUACAACAGGAAGCAAGAUGGCAACAUUAAGCAAAUCCCAAAAAGAUACCUCAGUUCGGAUUGCACUCUGCAACUCGAGUGCAUGAAGCUGGAAUUACUAGUAAUCGUGGAUCAGCGUGCCACGGUGAAUACGUUCCCGGGUCUUGUACACACCGCCCGUCACACCAUGGGAGUUGGUUCUACCUUAAGGCAAGGUUUAAAACCCUUGACCACGGUAUAGUCAGCGACUGGGGUGAAGUCGUAACAAGGUAACC